Molecule: ribosomal RNA, 678 nt
Filed under: uncultured bacterium
Lineage: Bacteria
Description: bacterial SSU rRNA
Rfam family: Bacterial small subunit ribosomal RNA
Source: RNAcentral
GAAACGACUGCUAAUACCGCAUAAGCCCACGGUGCCGCAUGGCACAGAGGGAAAAGGAGCAAUCCACUUUGAGAUGGCCUCGCGUCCGAUUAGCUAGUUGGUGAGGUAAUGGCCCACCAAGGCGACGAUCGAUAGCCGGACUGAGAGGUUGAACGGCCACAUUGGGACUGAGACACGGCCCAGACUCCUACGGGAGGCAGCAGUGGGGAAUAUUGCACAAUGGGGGAAACCCUGAUGCAGCGACGCCGCGUGGAGGAAGAAGGUCUUCGGAUUGUAAACUCCUGUUGUUGGGGAAGAUAAUGACGGUACCCAACAAGGAAGUGACGGCUAACUACGUGCCAGCAGCCGCGGUAAAACGUAGGUCACAAGCGUUGUCCGGAAUUACUGGGUGUAAAGGGAGCGCAGGCGGGAAGACAAGUUGGAAGUGAAAUCUAUGGGCUCAACCCAUAAACUGCUUUCAAAACUGUUUUUCUUGAGUAGUGCAGAGGUAGGCGGAAUUCCCGGUGUAGCGGUGGAAUGCGUAGAUAUCGGGAGGAACACCAGUGGCGAAGGCGGCCUACUGGGCACCAACUGACGCUGAGGCUCGAAAGUGUGGGUAGCAAACAGGAUUAGAUACCCUGGUAGUCCACACCGUAAACGAUGAUUGCUAGGUGUUGGAGGAUUGACCCCUUCAGUGCC